Molecule: ribosomal RNA, 253 nt
Filed under: uncultured bacterium
Lineage: Bacteria
Description: partial 16S ribosomal RNA
Rfam family: Bacterial small subunit ribosomal RNA
Source: RNAcentral
UACGUAGGGUGCGAGCGUUAAUCGGAAUUACUGGGCGUAAAGCGUGCGCAGGCGGUUCGCCAAGUCAGGUGUGAAAUCCCCGGGCUUAACCUGGGAAUUGCGCUUGAAACUAGCGGGCUUGAGUGCGGCAGAGGGGGGUGGAAUUCCACGUGUAGCAGUGAAAUGCGUAGAGAUGUGGAGGAACACCGAUGGCGAAGGCAGCCAUCUGGACCGACACUGACGCUGAGGCGCGAAAGCGUGGGGAGCAAACAGG